This 301-nucleotide ribosomal RNA is filed under the name uncultured bacterium. RNAcentral describes it as "partial 16S ribosomal RNA". It matches the Rfam family "Bacterial small subunit ribosomal RNA", at positions 509 to 807 of the family's 1533-position model. The record is from RNAcentral.
CAGCAGCCACGGUAAUACGUAGGUGGCAAGCGUUGUCCGGAAUUAUUGGGCGUAAAGGGCUCGCAGGCGGUUUCUUAAGUCUGAUGUGAGAGCCCCCGGCUCAACCGGGGAGGGUCAUUGGAAACUGGGAAACUUGAGUGCAGAAGAGGAGAGUGGAAUUCCACGUGUAGCGGUGAAAUGCGUAGAGAUGUGGAGGAACACCAGUGGCGAAGGCGACUCUCUGGUCUGUAACUGACGCUGAGGAGCGAAAGCGUGGGGAGCGAACAGGAUUAGAUACCCGCGUAGUCCCUGUCUCUUAUAC